Molecule: regulatory RNA element, 125 nt
Organism: Morganella morganii subsp. morganii KT
Lineage: Bacteria; Pseudomonadati; Pseudomonadota; Gammaproteobacteria; Enterobacterales; Morganellaceae
Rfam family: Histidine operon leader
About the family: At least 6 amino acid operons are known to be regulated by attenuation. In each a leader sequence of 150-200 bp is found upstream of the first gene in the operon.
Source: Rfam
UCACCACCACCAUCACCCUGACUAGUCUUUCAGGCGAUUGGUGCCGGAAGACGUUCAGAGCUUCCGGUGGCAUGCGUGCUAAGAGAGAACCCCCGGAAGAAUCUUUUUUCCGGGGGUUUUUUUAU